UGGGGAAUUUUGGACAAUGGGCGAAAGCCUGAUCCAGCAAUGCCGCGUGUGUGAAGAAGACCUUCGGGUUGUAAAGCACUUUUGUCCGGAAAGAAAUCCUUGGCUCUAAUACAGUCGGGGGAUGACGGUACCGGAAGAAUAAGCACCGGCUAACUACGUGCCAGCAGCCGCGGUAAUACGUAGGGUGCAAGCGUUAAUCGGAAUUACUGGGCGUAAAGCGUGCGCAGGCGGUUUGCUAAGACCGAUGUGAAAUCCCCGGGCUCAACCUGGGAACUGCAUUGGUGACUGGCAGGCUAGAGUAUGGCAGAGGGGGGUAGAAUUCCACGUGUAGCAGUGAAAUGCGUAGAGAUGUGGAGGAAUACCGAUGGCGAAGGCAGCCCCCUGGGCCAAUACUGACGCUCAUGCACGAAAGCGUGGGGAGCAAACAGGAUUAGAUACCCUGGUAGUCCACGCCCUAAACGAUGUCAACUAGUUGUUGGGGAUUCAUUUCCUUAGUAACGUAGCUAACGCGUGAAGUUGACCGCCUGGGGAGUACGGUCGCAAGAUUAAAACUCAAAUGAAUUGACGGGGUCAUAGCUGUUUCC
RNAcentral lists this ribosomal RNA (584 nucleotides) under uncultured bacterium. RNAcentral describes it as "partial 16S ribosomal RNA". It matches the Rfam family "Bacterial small subunit ribosomal RNA", at positions 355 to 937 of the family's 1533-position model. The record is from RNAcentral.